Molecule: long non-coding RNA, 1324 nt
Organism: Pogoniulus pusillus (Red-fronted tinkerbird)
Lineage: Eukaryota; Metazoa; Chordata; Aves; Piciformes; Lybiidae
Exons: 3
Source: RefSeq, a predicted model, not a curated record
CAGCGUUCCAGAUCCAUGGGGUCCAGCGUUCCAGAUCCAUGGGGUCCAGCGUUGGGGUCACAGAGGCAACAGCUCUCGUGGCAGGGAGACAUUCCUGGGGCAGGAAGGAGGGGGAAGAACAAACAACAACCACAACCCAAGCAUACAGCUGUUGUGCAACAGCACGCCCAGAAUCCGGUUUUCCUACAAGAACAAGCCAGACCUGUCCAUUCAAUCCAGCACAGCACAGCCCUCCCCUACCUAAGAAGCAGCAUUAUCAGCUCCCAGACAAGCUACAAGCUCAGAAGCUCAACAUUCAUAACAAAUUCAAAGAGACUCAGUUCAGCAGAGUUGCUCUGCUAAACAGCAUCACUCGCAUCACUCUUCCGUUAUCCUUUCUCCCUUUUCUUACACUUGGCACAGGAAAAAUUAAACAAGUGAAAGGAUGGCAAGCAAGAACAAGUAAUGUUGAAGAUGGGUGGGGAACAAAGACAAGGGCACUGGGAACAAGACCACUGUCUGAGUAGCAUUGCUGUCCCCAGUUUGCUACUCACUAGCUUGGUCUACCUUUCCAUUAUUGUCUUGGAGAGCUGCAGUUUUUAGAAACAGGCAAUAAUGAGAGUCUGAAACUGAGGAGUGUCUAAAAAUAACUUUUCUUCUUACCCAACAAACAAGCGACUGGGGUUUAAAGGCAACUUUUGCAUUUAAAAGUCUGUUAGAGACAUUAAAUGCCAAGCUACUUAUCUUAAUUGUAGCCAAACAUAUUAGAGGCCACAAAAGUUCUGAAAAAAAAAUAAAUCACCUGUAUGAAUUUGUCUUAACUAAUAUGGCAUUGUAUUUCAGGAAAUUCAUAACAAAACAGCAGCCAGGCAUGACUAAGCUUGGGAAUCAGCCCUCGUAAGGAGGACAGUUUACAGGUCAAAGUCAACCCAAGUCUUCACUUCCUCUGCUUCAGCUAUGCAGUAGGAAAGGAACAUGGAAAUUGCAUUGACCUUGUUGACACAAAAAAAUAAUGCUAUUUUUAGCUCCACUGUGGGGAGGGUGGGGACAUAUUUUCUGGGUUAAGGGUGGAUUUUUUAAACUGGAUUAGAAACAGGAGGAAGAGGCAAUUUUAAUCUGGAACUGAAGUACCUACACAUGAAGCUAAUCAGGAACAACUCCAAAUCCUCAUGAAGAAAAAAGGAGAAGUCCCAUCUUCCUGGUUUGUCUUAGCUGUGAAUUGUCCCAGUAUAGAAUCAAAAUAUGCUUCCCCAAAGAGUUCGACUGCAUUACUGCCUUAAAGACAGAGGCUGGAGAAAUAUCAUAGGACCCCAAUAAAACAGUUGUAGAGAAAUAACAUUUCAAU